AAUUCUAUUUCAUUGUCAAAGUCAGCUUUAUUGUCAGUUUUGCCAUAUGUUCAUCACAAACAGAAAACUGAAAUUACAAAACUAAGGCUCCACGGUGCAAAAUGAAUAGUCGAAGAAAAUACCAAAAAUAGAAAAAA
Sphaeramia orbicularis (orbiculate cardinalfish) is the source of this 137-nucleotide long non-coding RNA. RefSeq lists it as uncharacterized. NCBI's taxonomy places the organism in Eukaryota, Metazoa, Chordata, Actinopteri, Kurtiformes, Apogonidae. The record is from RefSeq and is a predicted model, not a curated record. The transcript is spliced from 3 exons.